This 776-nucleotide long non-coding RNA is filed under the name Nicotiana tabacum (common tobacco). Its description in RNAcentral is "long non-coding RNA (NTAB_LNC007066)". Lineage: Eukaryota; Viridiplantae; Streptophyta; Magnoliopsida; Solanales; Solanaceae. The record is from RNAcentral.
UCUGCAGUGAUAAUCAACCCAAAAGGGAAGUCUCCUUCAAAUUCUUUCCUGCAUUUAAAAAAAGAGGAAGAAAAAUUCAAAAUCAUGGUAGCAUAGGGCCUCAUUCCCUAGAUCUCCCUGGCAUAACCCAAGGACCUUUUUUUUCUUUUAUCCCGGCAUAACCCGUGGAUCUCCUUGGCAUAANNNNNNNNNNNNNNNNUUUNNNNNNAUCCAAGCAUAACCCGUGGACCUCCCUGGCAUAACCCAAGGACGUUCUUUCUUUUAUCCCGGCAUAACCCGUGGACCUCCCUAGCAUAACCCAAGGACCUUUUUUAUUUUAUCCCGGCAUAACCCGUGGACGUCCCUGGCAUUACCCAAGGACCUUUUUCUUUUAUCCCGGCAUAACUCGUGGACCUCCCAGGCAUAACCCAAGGACCUUUUUUCUUUUAUCCCGGCAUAACCCGUGGAUCUCCCUCGCAUAAUACAAGAACCUUUUUUCUUUUAUCCCGGCAAAACCCGCAGAUCUCCUUGGCAUAACCUAAGGACCUUUUAUCCCGGCAUAACCCGUGGAUCUCCCUAACAUAACUCAAGGACCUUUUUCUUGUAUCACGGCAUAACCCGUGGACCUCCCUGGCAUAACCUAAGAACUUUUUUUCUUUUAUUCUCCCUAGCAUAACCCAAUGACCUUUUUUCUUUUAUCUCGGUAUAACCCGUGGAUCUCCCUGGCAUGACCCAAGGACCUUUUUUUCUUUUAUCCCGGCAUAACCCGCGGACCUCCCUGGCAUAACCCAAGGACU